CAAUGGCACAAACUCAUUCUUGA
This 23-nucleotide microRNA is filed under the name Homo sapiens (human). RNAcentral's name for it is "hsa-miR-5197-5p". The record is from miRBase by way of RNAcentral. Lineage: Eukaryota; Metazoa; Chordata; Mammalia; Primates; Hominidae.